GAUGAACGCUGGCGGCGUGCCUAAUACAUGCAAGUCGAGCGAACGGACGAGAAUCUUGCUUCUCUGAUGUUAGCGGCGGAGGGGUGAGUAACACGUGUAUAACCUACCUAUAAGACUGGGAUAACUUCGGAAAACCGGAGCUAAUACCGGAUAAUAUUUUGAACCGCAUGGUUCAAAAGUGAAAGACGGUCGUGCUGUCACGUAUAGAUGGAUCCGCGCUGCGUUAGCUAGUUGGUAAGGUAAAGGCUUACCAAGGCAACGAUGCAUAGCCGCCCUGAGAGGGUGAGCGGCCACACUGGAACUGAGACACGGCCCAGACUCCUACGGGAGGCACCAGUACGCAAUCGUGCGGAAUGGGCGAAAGCCUGACGGAGCAACGCCGCGUGAUUGAUGAAGGUCUUCGGAUGGUAAAACUCUGUUAUUGGGGAGGAACAUAUGUGCAAGUAACUGUGAACAUCUUGACGGGACAUAAUUAGAAAGCCACGGCCAAAUUCCUG
RNAcentral lists this ribosomal RNA (497 nucleotides) under uncultured bacterium. RNAcentral describes it as "partial 16S ribosomal RNA". It matches the Rfam family "Bacterial small subunit ribosomal RNA", at positions 28 to 507 of the family's 1533-position model. The record is from RNAcentral.